This 393-nucleotide ribosomal RNA is filed under the name uncultured bacterium. RNAcentral's name for it is "partial 16S ribosomal RNA". It matches the Rfam family "Bacterial small subunit ribosomal RNA", at positions 523 to 918 of the family's 1533-position model. The record is from RNAcentral.
AUACGGAGGAUGCAAGCGUUAUCCGGAUUUAUUGGGUUUAAAGGGAGCGCAGGCGGAGAUGCAAGCGUGACGUCAAAUUUCGGGGCUCAACCCCGUCUCGCGUCGCGAACUGCGUCCCUUGGUUGCGGGAAGGGGAGGCGGAACUCGUGGGGUAGCGGUGAAAUGCAUAGAUAUCACGAAGAACUCCGAUCGCGAAGGCAGCCUUCCGGCCCGUCAACGACGCUCAUGCUCGAAGGUGCGGGUAUCAAACAGGAUUAGAUACCCUGGUAGUCCGCACAGUAAACGAUGGACACCCGCGGUUUGGCCUGUAUGGCUGAGCCGCCAAGCGAAAGCGUUAAGUGUCCCACCUGGGGAGUACGCCGGCAACGGUGAAACUCAAAUGAAUUGACGGGG